Oreochromis niloticus (Nile tilapia) is the source of this 14358-nucleotide RNA transcript. It is a transcript of the gene named potassium voltage-gated channel subfamily C member 1, with no coding region annotated. NCBI's taxonomy places the organism in Eukaryota, Metazoa, Chordata, Actinopteri, Cichliformes, Cichlidae. The transcript has 6 exons. The record is from RefSeq and is a predicted model, not a curated record.
UAUUGUGACCAUAAAACUCCCUGGGACAUAAAAGCGCUAGAAUGAUCGUUCACAGAGUAUUCACCAAACAUACUCAGUGCCUCAGAAGUCCACAGAAUGGCCCCACCUAUAGGACACGUUGUAAAAUCACACUGAGUUCUACAACCCAUGUCAAAAACUAUGGAAUCGCCACAUUUGGAGAGUGUUCAUUCAACUUAUUUAUUUUGUAUCAAACAUUUUUGUAGCAACUAUUUUUGUUUCUUAAUUGAUCACGAAACAUCCCUCAGAAAUAUUACUUUUAUUAAUUAUACAGAUUUUUUUAGAUCAAAUGGAGGGAAACCAGUAUGGAGUCACUAAAUGCUGAGAAAUAGUUAUAGAAUUACUGUAAAGAUUUUCCAAAUCUGCCAUCAAUAGAUUCAGACAUGCAUAGGCUUAGAUUUUAAGGGGGACACCCCCAUCGCAGUAUGUAGAAAACAUCUCUUCCAUUUCAGGGUCGCUGGAGCCUUUCCCAGCUACCACAGGACGAGAGACAGGGUGCACACUGGACAGGUCGCCAGUCUGCCACAGGGCUAACACAUAGAGACAAACAACCAUUCACACUCAGAAUUACCCCUAUGGGCAAUUUAGAAUGACCAGUUUACCUAACCCCACUAACUGCAUGUCUUUGGACUGUGGGAGGAAGCCAGAGUACCAGGGGAACCCACGCGGAUCUGGCCGGGUGGUGGAAUCAAACUCUGGACCUGCUUGCUGUGAGGCAACAGUGCUAAUCACUGCACCACUGCCCGUGUAGAAAAAUGCAUUUCUCGAAGCCAGACGAUAUGAAAAAAUGCCAAAAUAUAUACUGAAAUAAACAACUGUUACCUUCCUUCAGAAAUAUUUAAUUUUAUUCCCAAAAUGUGAACUGGAUAUGGUCAGUUACAAGUUAUUAGUUAAGUUUUUAUGUGAAGAGGAAUACCCAUUUUACCCCCACAAAAACAUCAGCAAAGUGUUUACUGAGGUCAUAGAUCAAGGGAACAAACGGAUUUCGAAUCACCACGUCUUUGACACCAGAACAGUCGCCUCCUGCUGGCCAUCAGAAAGAAUUUAGUGUUAGGGCACUUUAGCAUUGGCUUUACUUUUCACAGUUGGAAGUUAUGUCCAUUGGGAAUGGUGAGCAUGGUGGUGCAGUGGUUAGCACUGUUGCCUCACUACAACAAGGUACUGAGUUUGUUUCCACCACCCUGCUUGGGCCUUUCUGUGUGGCGCUUGCAUGUUCUCUCCGGAUAAUCUGGCUUCCUCCCACAGUCCAAAGACAUGCAGUUAGUGGGGUUAGGGCAACCGGCAAUUCCAAAUUGCCCGUAGCUGUAAAUGUGAGAGUGAAUGAUUGUCUCUUUGUAAGCUCUGUGAUGGAUUGGUGAUCUACCCCAAUACUGAAACCUAAAAAGAGGAACAGAAGGCUCCAUUUUAUAUCCAGUCUAUGGAUAUAUGUCAUUCAUCAUUCCAAAAAAACUGGUAACAUGUGACAUAUUCAGAAUGUGCAAGUUCUAAACAUUACAAACCUUUGCUGAAACCCAUGUGGGCUAUUAAACUGACAUGAACACGUGACUGGUACAAAUUUAAUUAGGUUACUUCACAAACAAAGGAGACAAGAGCAGCCUGAAUUCAUAUCAUCUUGUUCCACUCUUCAUGUGUGACUUGGCAGGGACAAUAUUGAAUUAAAUCCACUGAGAAUAAUUAUUUCAAAGUGAGAGAGAAUGGCAUAGAUCCGAACUGGGUUAAAUUCCAAUAUAUGUUUUCAUUUACUGUACAUGAAUACAUACUUUUACUGUAAAUUGAUGCAGAAAACAUAUAAACUACUGCAUAGAAAUACACCAGAUUUUCAGGUAUGGAAGAGGCUGAUGCUCAGAUUUUCCUGGCUAAGGAUUCCAAAUACCUACUGUCUGUGUUUAAGGAAAACCCCAAAAUAAGAGAAAUACACAAGGUUUUUUUUAGUUUGUUUUUUUUAGAGAAAACAAGAGCCAUGCAACAAUAAUUCAGUGCCACUGAUAUUACUGGAUCUCAUAACAGAAUUCAUUCUCCUGCAGCCAGUUUUAAGUAUCUGGUAGAAAGAUGGACACCAGGAAAGCGAAACCUACUAAAUAAAGGAAAUUCCUGAUAAGGUUUGUUUCAGCAGGCAUACAGAGACGCUAAUGUCUAGAUGCCCAUCAGUAUUUCAGCAUUUCCAGAAGGAAAAAAAAGAAGCAAAUGAUCACGUGCAUGCUCUCGCUCUCUGCUGCUUAGUUCAAUACAUCUGAUUUCUCUGCACAAGUACAAGGCUGCAGAGACCCACAGGAUGAGAAUAAGAGCAAAUGUAUUCAUGUUCAGGUAUUCAUGCGGAGGUCGCGAAUUCAAAGGAUCUGAAUCACACGAACUCAGUAAAUCAAUCGCGCAGGCAGGCAGUCAAUCAGCGGGGAAACCUAUUGAUUCAUAAAAUCCGCAUCCCACACAUUCUCUCUUUCAUACAUAUACACGCGCCUGCAGAUUCCCCCCUCUCUCUCUUAGAGAGGCAGAGAGGCUGACUCCGCCUUCCUUUCCUUCUCUCACUUGGCACUGUGUCUCCUUGUUGGCGGUACAGUAUAACAGAAGCAUACAGAUCGGGGACCGACGGUGGAUGGGGAAAGGCAGUAGCCGCAGCAGCAGCAGUCGGACGUACCGACCGAAGGAUGCUCCAGCACCAUGACUUGCUCGGCGUCAGAUAGCGAGAAGAUCGUCAUCAACUGCGGUGGGAUUCGACACGAGACCUACCGGAGCACCCUAAAGACGUUGCCGGGGACGCGCUUGUCUUGGCUGACAGAGCCCGACGCCUACAGCAACUUCGACUACGAUCCCAAGUCCGACGAGUUCUUCUUUGACCGCCACCCGGCCACCUUCGCCUUCAUCCUCAACUACUACCGUACCGGCAAGCUCCACUGCCCCAACGAUGUCUGCGGGCCGCUCUUCGAGGAAGAGCUUGCCUUCUGGGGCAUCGAUGAGACGGACGUGGAGGCGUGCUGCUGGAUGAAUUACCGACAGCACCGUGAUGCAGAAGAAGCCCUGGACAGCUUUGAAACCCCCGAACCGGAUCCACCCGAGGACGACCCUGCACUCACCGGCGGAGCGGAUGGCGACCUGAAACGUCUGUGCAUGCAGGAGGACGGCCGCAGGGCGACAUGGUGGGAGGUGUGGCAGCCCAGGAUGUGGGCGCUGUUUGAGGAUCCCUACUCCUCCAAAUAUGCCCGGUAUGUGGCUUUUGCCUCACUCUUCUUCAUCCUGCUCUCCAUCUCCACAUUCUGCCUGGAGACCCAUGAAGCCUUCAACACCAUCUACAACAAAACAGAGAAUGUCACCGUUGGCAACGUGACACGUGAAGAGAUUGUAUAUGAGGUGGUCACAGACAGCUGGCUCACAUAUGUCGAGGGCGUCUGCGUCAUCUGGUUCACCAUUGAAGUAAUGGCACGCGUCAUCUUCUGUCCUGACAAGGCAGAGUUCUUCCGCAGUGCCCUGAACAUAAUAGACUUUGUGGCAAUUGUGCCCUUUUACCUGGAGGUGGCGCUGAGUGGCCUAUCCUCCAAAACAGCCAAAGACGUUCUGAGCUUCCUGCGUGUUGUACGCUUUGUCCGUAUCCUACGUAUAUUCAAGCUGACCCGCCACUUUGUUGGUUUACGUGUGCUGGGCCACACUCUGCGCGCCAGCACCAAUGAAUUCCUGCUGCUCAUAAUCUUCCUGGCACUAGGUGUCCUCAUCUUUGCUACCAUGAUCUACUAUGCUGAACGUAUUGGUGCUGACCCAGAUGAUCCAACAGCUGCAGCCCACACCAACUUUAAGAACAUCCCCAUCGGCUUCUGGUGGGCUGUGGUGACCAUGACCACGCUGGGAUAUGGGGAUAUGUAUCCUGAAACAUGGUCAGGAAUGCUCGUGGGUGCCCUCUGCGCCUUGGCUGGGGUGCUGACAAUUGCCAUGCCAGUGCCUGUCAUCGUCAAUAACUUUGGCAUGUACUACUCCCUGGCCAUGGCUAAGCAGAAACUCCCCAAGAAGAGGAACAAGCACAUCCCGAGGGCGCCACAGCCAGGCAGCCCAAACUAUUGUAAGCCAGAUGCCCUGGCAAUGGCGACAGCAUCUCCUCACAGGUUGAUGGGAAAUGUGCUCGGGCCUGGCAUGGUGGGAUCUGGCAGCAUGAUGGGUACUGGAGACUGCCCAUUAGCACAGGAGGAGAUCAUUGAGAUCAACAGGGCAGACUCCAAGCAGAACGGUGAUGCAGCAGCUAAUGCUGCGGCUCUGGCCAAUGAGGACUGCCCUACCAUUGACCAGGUCCUGGGAGACGAGCGUAGCCCGGCCACCGGUGGGCUAGGCUCCACCACCAGCCGUGAGCGCUACCCGCACGACCGGGCGUGCUUCCUGCUGAGCGCAGGGGAGUUUCAGCGCACAACAGACGGAAACGUUCGAAAAGCCACAGGUUAUGAGAAGUCACGUAGCCUCAAUAACAUCUCUGGAAUGACAGGCGCCCCGCUGCGCCUCACUCCCAUCACUAAUUCUACCUUUGAACCCUUUGAGCCGCCUGGCCUCAGGCGAUGUCAUUCCCCCAUCCCUUCAAUCUUGUAGCAUAGCCCACAGAUAGCCACCAAAUUUAACAACAACAGCAGCAACAGUAACAUUUAGAAAUAUUUUUUUGUCUGAUUAUUCGUUUUGCUUUUUGCAUGGAAAAAAAAGCCUACACACAGAAGGAAUUACAGUUUGUCCAGGCCGCUCUGUCAUUCUGCAUUCAUGCCUUGUGUUUUGUUCUUGAUCUGAAACAACAAUGAAUGCAAGUUCAUGGAGCCCCUGGAGGCCCCAUUUAAUAAUUUCAAGAAAGAUUAGCUGAACCUUACUGAAAUAAAUGUGGCAAAUUUGCCUUACUAACAUGAAAAGAGUUUAGCUUACAGUAGAAUAAUAGAAGAGUUAGUUUACCUCUAGUUUUUCCUGUGCUACGCCUUGCCUGUAUUUCAACUGCACUUGUACAUCAACGCUUUAACCUUGGUACCUAAGAGGAGUUACAAAUCUUCUAAUAUGAAGCCUAAGAAUGCAUACAGUGACACACUGACACCAACAUAUUACAGCAGCAUGUGUGUUUUUACUCCAGAAUAAGAGAAUACACUAGCCUAUAAGAAGCAAACACAUUUUGUAGAAGCAAACACAUUUUGUAUUUAAAUGCCCCUUACUCUAGCUCCUCUGCAACUUAACUUGAAAGUCAUGUUUGCUGUAGAAGGUGAUGUGCUAAAACAUCAUCAAACAUUUAACAUAGCUGAAAAGAGACAGUCUCCCAUAUAUGUCAACUUCAACACCAGCUUCUGAGCCCUUGUGCCCUUUCUCCUGCUUCCUGGUAAUUAAUAUAGAAGGACCUGUUAGUAUGGUGGUCAAAGUAUUGUGGUUUUUCAUUUGUCCCUACCAGUAAGGAGUUAUAAUGUACAGAUAUAAUGUAUUUUUCCAUAACGGAAUUGUACAUUAUGCUGAUUUAACCAUGCAAGCACUAUUGUGCAGUAAAGCUAGUUACAAACUCAUUAUACAUAAUAAAUGUAGGACAAACUUUAUAGAAUAUCAAGUUUUUACACAGCUAAAAGUACAAAGCAGCAGGGCCAAGGGUUAGGGAUAAGUGCUCCCUGUGAUCUGAAAUUUUACACACACACAUAUAUAGAUAUAUAUAAAUAUAUCAUUGGGCAAUAUGAUCUUAUUACUUCUGCUUGAGCCAUCAGAGAUGAACACUUUCUUGUUUCUUUGUCUUUGUUAAUUACUUUCAAAAAGAACACUACAAAGAAAGCUUCUUUGGGUUUUUUUCACCAGACUGGGGUCAACAAAUUGACAGGACACUAAGCUAAUUGUCCCCUUGCAUCACCACAAAAUGCAUGCUCUUAUGUUUAUUUGUGGAUAAAAAGAAACACAUUGAAGCAGUGACUUUUAGUUUGUAAGGGUUAACCCUGACUACAGUGAAGACAUGAACUUACUGGAAGAAAGGAAAGCAAUCAGCAAAUCUUCCAAAAAGCUGUUUCUUUCCUUUCUGUGUACGUGGAAAAAUGUCCUGCGAUAAACUAGCCACCUUUCCGGGGUAUUCCCUGCCUCUCUCCCUGUGACAGCUGGAACAGACUCCAGCACCCCUGAUGCUUAGGAAAAUAGCUGGAUGGAUUUAUCUAUAAAAGCUCCAGACAUUGCAGCUGCGCCUGAGUGUUUGAGGCAUAGUUUUCUUUAGGCUUAUGUUCACCACACCACCACCACCACCACCAUCACUGCUGCUGCACCAUCACUACUAUCACUGACUCUAAUGUGGCCAGUGGCAAUAUUUUUAGUUUUCUCCCCAUUUCGCUUCUUGUUCUUUCCCUGUUUUUGCCUGUCUUUUACUCCUGAACCCCAUCCUGCCCUUCUUCUCCUGUCCUUCCAUCUCUUCUUUGUUUUUGGCUGCGGCUGCUCAGUAGGAGGUACAGUGAACGGCUACUGGAGUGACAGCCCAUGGUAGAAGAAAAGCAGAUGCCAAAAACCACACAGGAAGAAGACAGCAAAUAAAGGACGGACAGAGAAAAAACACAAUCUAGACAAAUAAGACAGUAGAGGAUGUUUCUGUCCGCAUCAGUGUUUUUAUGUGCAUGUGUGCCCAGACCUGCAGCUACCUCUGUACUAAAGCCAAUAAAUUCAGCAAGGAAGAACAUAUCUCCCUUCACAUGUUCUUCCUGAUUCCUGAUGAAGAUUUUUGUGGAAAAAUGUAUUUGACUGCAUUUGGAAAAAGACGGUCUGUUGGUUAAGUUGUAUCUUUUUGAUUCCCUUGUGCUCAACUCUUGCUCUCUCCUUUUUUCUCUCCCAGCAGAAAGUAGAAUAGAAUUUUUCAUUUGUUUAAACAUCAAAGAAAAAUCAAACUGAUGCAAAUUUGCUUUAAAAUUCAGAGAGUGUUUAGAAAAUUGCACCAAAAUAAGUGUACAGUGGGAGGUAUGUCCUUCCUGUUACUUUUUUACAUUCAGACUGUGAGUUACAGAAGGUGAGAGCACUGCUUCUAGACAUCAUUUUUGAAUGUUUAAGUAUGUUUUUUUUAAACAAAUAUCUUGUUUAUGUUUAAAUGUGUGUUCACUUUCUUGCCACAGCAGUCUAUAGUCUGGCUGCUAAGUUUGGAACUAUAGCUAGAAAGUCUGAGCUUACCUUAGACUGGAAAAGAAAAUAACAACUCCCAGUUUCAUUACCUAAUAUAGUGUGGGAACAUGGUGACAGCUUGUUAUUAUUUUCAGGUUAAUUUUCAGGUUUGUUAGAGGUGUUAGUGGAUUUGUCUGUCUGUAUAGGGCUAACUGCAUCACAGUUUUGAAUAUUUAUGCUAAGCUAACUUCAUUUAUCACCUGCUGGCUGUUUUUCAGGCACAACUGCUCAAGCUGCUGUUGGCAAGAAAGUGAUGUACAGAUUUGUCCAAAGUGUGUAGCUAUUCUUAUGUGUGUUUUAUGUCAGGCAAGGUUUUCUAUUGUUCUCGUUUAUCCUGAUGCUCAAACCCUCUGUGGUGCAGUAAUGAAUAACUUGGAUAUUUCCGUCCACUGGGGGAUUCGUGAAAACCAGGAACACAUUUACACACCUCAUUCCAUCCUCUCCUUUUCCCAGCAUCCAUUUGUUCAGAGUGCAUCUGUCACUUUUCCCCUUUGGUUUGUUUUGUUGUGACAGUGUAUAUAUGUAAAGUUUGUCUUGUAGAUAAACCUGCAUGGGUUUCUGUCACAAUCAAUAAGGAUACUGAUAUGAUCAAUAAUUUGAUAAAGUUUUAGUCUCAAGCCUAAUGGCACUGUCUAGAUUACCACGCGUGUGUGGAUGUAUAUGUUGAGGUACUUACAUAUGCACUAACAAAAGCAUGCAACACAAAAAAUGGUCACCUCUUUGAAUGCAGGAAGAGGUCGAUGGACAUUAUGCAUGACUAAAUGCUACGAUGAUACUGGUCAGACCAGACCAAGUUAGGUACUGUAACAGGGAAGGGUGAGGGUGGGAAAGUUUAUUUUUGCAGGAUGGGGAGGGGUUUUGUUUCUAGUAGGUCUUCUACUGCUGCUUUCUUAUCACUCUUGAGAGACUUACAAGGUAAACAUUAACAAUUGUAGCUUUUUCUUCUUUUUUUAGCUUCUCCCUUCACAAAGAGCUGUUCUGAAAGCUGUGUACUUAUCAGAUAUAUGCAAAAAAAGUAACACUAACUGUGAACUAAUACUAAAAAAUCCAGCUUCUUCCAUCAGUGUUUCAGCUCCAUUUUUCCCCGUUCAUGUUUUCUUUCAUUUGCACCUUAAUUUUGUGUCCACGUCAUGUGUCAUUUCCAUCUGCCCUUUCCUGUUCUGUAAACUGUAAUAUGUCCAAAAGACACAUGUCUCUGUAAUGCAAUAAUUCGCUGCACCUUCUGAACAAAGAGCAAUUCCUAAUUAUCCAUGUUUCCUUCAGCAGCAUACAAACAAUUUCCUUCUUUUGAUGUCCCAGUGACCUGAUGUCCCUUCUUUCUUUUCCCAGUAAAGAGGAAAAGAAAGUCCAUGAAGCCAUUCCUGUCAUAGAAUCCAUAAAUAUAUGGAUUUGAUUGGUCAAAAGGGCCACAUCUACAGUCAGUCGGAAUCAAUACAUGACUAACACAUGCAAGAAUCCUGUCAAUCUAAUUUAGCCAAGAUGACAAAUUUUUAAAAAUGAUGAAGAUUUAUACUGAUCUUAGGAAAGUAGUUCAUUGUAUCUUGUAAUGUAUAGAAGCCCUUUGUUUUUCUGGAUGAACCACACAUUUUUGAUUGCUUCGUUUUAAAAGUCUCAAGAUUUGUGAAUUCCUAGUGAGAACCAUUAUUGCUGGAGCAACGCUCAAAAGUUAGAGCUUGAAGAGUGUUUCAUGUGAAUUGUCACUGGCUUUUUCUAUGUGUCAUGUUUGUGAUCUGUGUUUCCUCCAUCUACUCAGGUAUAGCUCUCUUAACCUGUGCCCAUCUGUAUCUGGUCACCCAUGCUUUCUCAGAUAUGACAAACUGAAGGACUAGAGAAAAACACUGAAAAAGGUUUUCUGUGAAUGCCAUGUGCUCUGUUUUAGGGUUCCGUCUACAAAACUGCUGUCCUUGCUUUGUUUUUCCGAAUGUGCUCCCUGUCUUCUCCUUGUAUUUCUCCUCACCUUUCUUCUCUGUCCCAGUAACUGUAUCUCACUUUCUAUGGGACACCAUCCAUCCAUUCUUCAAGCCAGAAAACUCAAGCCAAAAAGGAAAACGUGUAAAUUAGAGCACCUUCGCAUUGGAAAAACAAAAACUAUUGGCCUGACAGUGGACUUCGCUGAGGAUGAAGAUAGGAAUGGACAAUAAAAGAAUAAACAAGAGGGUAAUGAUAUGUUGUAAACAGAUGCAGAUGAACAAAUGUGCUAAAAACUCGUGUUCUGAGUGGAUUGUCAGCUGAGCAGCAUCAAAGAGAGGAGAUGGAGGAGGAAAAGUUGGGGCAACACAGAAAGUGUUGGAGGAGGAAAGAAAGAAGCACAAAUCGCUUCUCCAUUGCUGAGUUUUUAACAAACUCACCCAUUCCUCUACAAGAAGAGGAAAACUAUUAACUGUAAACUGCUGCUCGUCUCUUUCUGCUGAUGGGAUUCACCGUAGAAACUGGGAGGGAGAUAGAGAGAAAGAGAAGAACAACACUGGUGUUCACAGUUCCAUCAUCACAUGCAACCUAAUGGAGAAAUUGGCUGUUAGUAAAUGUAAGCCAUAUUAACUUGGAAGACCAAACAAUUUCACGUCCUCUGAACUGAUUUCCAGAGCGAAUGGCUACAUAGAUUCUCUCAGCUGAGCUGCCAGAGGGCUUCCUGCCCGAUGGUCUUGUAUCUGGAAACCUCAUGUCUUCUGGAUGUCUUGUUAGGUGUUUUAGUCACAAUUUUAUGUAAUGUAGUUGUCAUAUUGCUUUACUUACCUUUUUUUUUUUCAAGAGACUGCAUAAACUGCGACUGAUUCCCAGGAAUCAUCCAUUAUUUCGGCACUCAAAGCACUAUGCAAGGUGAGGGAGUCCAUCACGAUGUCCAGCGACUGCUAGGCUGCCCUGUUAAUCUCAGCUGAGAAACAGCAAGCUGAAGUCAAUUCAUACAUAUCAAAAAACAGCAGCUUUCACACUUAUAUGCACAUCACACAGUCAUUUAUGUUUUACACUAGCUGAAUCUCCCAGGAGGCAUCGAGACAACAUCUUGGGACUUCAAAUUCAGCAAGACAUCAGCAUGUUAGUUCGAAUGAGGUAACCCAAAGACGACAGACACUUGGAUGGAUGCAUUAGUUGAGAUGAACAGAAACACUCAAAGGCACUAAACUGGCCAUAAUGUCACAUGGCUGUCUUCAGGCAUCACUGAAGAUAGCCAUGGGAUAGACCCUCUUUCUCACUUGUUCCUUCUUGAGAUUUUGUGGUAUUUUACCCGAGUACCCCCGCCACCCUUAACUGCAUCUCUGCAUUGUUAUUGCUCCUCCCCUUUAGAAAAUCUGCAUGAAAAUCUGUAUUAAUGGGGGGAGGGGGGCAUAGUUAGAUUUUCUUUCAGCAUUGUUAGAGUAAUAGUAGUAUCACUAUCAUCCAAGAUACGUUUUAACUACUUACUGCUAAGGAUCUAUGAAAACAUGGUGGAGGAGGAUGCGCACCCUCCUCUCAGAGAAAAAGGAGACCAUACACACCAUAUCUGUUUGGAGGUGGGAAACUGAGCAGGCAAACAUCUUUUAGAAACUAUUUUAGGGACAAAAAAUGUCAAUGAUUGCAAAUUAGAAAUUCAUUUUUCUGACAUUGUUUAUCAGCAUGAAUAAUGUGCAUGACUUUUGCAAGUCACUCUUCUCUCUCAUGAAUAACAGGGCUAGAAACUGUUUUUUGUGUGUGUGUGAAAAUGUAAUAAUGUUACGUUAUAUGCAAUAGAAUGCGUACAGAUAAGUGUGUAGGAAUAACGAUUUCAUCCAUUUGAUUAACAUGGUAAAACACCAUUAAGAAAAAAAAGGUGAACCCUGUGUAGUUCUCUUUAAGAUGUCUUAGGACACCCAAUAAUAUAGCUUUCUUAAAUCCAAGAGGAGUCCUCUUCAACUUCUGCAAGUAUUUAUUCUGCUAUUGCUUCAACCUUUCACCUGGCUGCUAUUCUGCCUUUUUCUUAUUAUUACUAUUUCUUCUUCUUAUUGAAGCCUCUUACUAGAUUCCCUAGCUGUUAAUCUCUACAAUCACUGCUGUUUCCGGACACAGGACUGAAAGUUGUCCAUUCAAAGAUGUCAUUAUCCUGUGCAGUCAAACUGAAAAGGUUAUGUUGUUCUUUUAGUUGGAACUUUGUCCUUGACCUAAAUGUUGCUUCCAAGGUCUUGAGGACCUUCCAAAGAACCAUCAGAGGUGUGGGGUUCAGAUUACUUUAGGAGAAGGUCUACUGUUGUUUUGUUUGUUUGUUUGUACAUACUCUCAAAGUAAUCCAAGCUGAUCAGAUGACUUCAUCAGAUGACAAGGUACACAAUGCCUCCCUCAUGAAGUGUUAGUUAACACUUCAUGAGGGGGACAGUCUGACAGAUACAGAAAGAUGUCAUCUACAAAUGUUUGGUUUCAUGGUGUAGCUUGGACAAAUGACUCUUUAAGAGCAAUACACAACCCCAUCAUCACUGUUAGUCCCUGGUACAUUUGAUGUAUCUUUUUGUCUUGAUCUGGAAUGACCUCUUUCUUUUAUUUUCACAAUCGUUCAGGGACAAAAAGAAAAAGAAAUACCUUAGUGGAGUUCCUCAAGUUGCAUAUUUGAAUAUUUGUUGACUGAAUGAAAUAUGUAAUCACCAUAUUUAUAUUACUCUUAUCCAUGAGCCCAUUUCAUAAAACUUAUACCUGGAGUUUCCAUAGUUCUUGGGGAAAAAAACAGCCUGCAAAGGUACUGGCUACUAAAGACCUCACCUGAUGAGUCCAUUUAUGAUAUUUUUAGUAGGCUGUCAUAGCAAAUAGUGUACCAACUGAAAAAUUAGGCUACAAGUUAAUAAGUAAAAAGAGGUUGGGAAACUGUUCUUUGAAAAAUUUAAAGAGAAUUGUGCCAAAAUAUACUAUUUGAGUCAAACUAAGUUGUUAAUACAAACUGGUGAAACACUACAGGAGCAGAGUAUGCACAAGUGUAAGAUAUGCUCCUCUGAUAGAUAGAAAAAUGAUUAUUACAUGAAAAUAAGAAAUAUGUGUUUGUUAAAUAAUCUGGAUUUUAAUUGUGCCUCUCCUUUUUAUACUGUUUCAUUCAUAUGAAUUGCUCUGUAUUGUCUCUAUUAUACAUUGACUUUUGCUCAUGAUGCUGGGUAAAUGGACUGGUUCAUACGUAUAGCGCUUUUCUACUCGAGCACUCAGAGCGCUUUAUACAGCAUGCCUCAUUCACCUGAUAACAGAAGCUAUUUUUUCCCAUGCCUAAGUGUUUUUAUCUAACAUUCACUCACAUUCACACUCUGAUGGAUGCAGUGAAAAGCAAAUUGGGGUUAUCAUCUCACUCAAGUAUAUCUGAAAUGCAGGCUAGAGCAGCCAGGGUUUGAAUCUCCUGAUUAGUCGAUGACCUGCUCCACCUCCUGAGCUACAUUACAUUAUUAUUAGAAUCUCUUAUUUCAUGAACGUCAAAGAAAUGACAAAAAAGGCAACAACAAAGCCGUACAAAACAACUAAAGAGAGAUUUUAAAUAACUUAAAAGACAAAUAGAACACCCCUUACCCACAAAUAGACCCAGAGAGUCUACAGUGAUGAUGAUAAUGACUACAAUGACAGUUGGAGGCUCAUAAUAACUGUAAAGAGACUAAAAAUCACCUCAAGAGGCAAAACAGAACUGAAAACAACUAAAAAAGAGACAAUAAAUAAAGUUCAAAAUAUCAGUAAGAGGCCCAAAACUUUAACAGAAGAAAAAGAUGUUCAUCUUCUUAUUUUGUGUCUGACUGCAUUCUGACUGGGGGAGAUGGGGGGGUAGGAGUGGGCUUUUGCAUGGCGAUGCCCGAGGCCUCAAAUUCUGUGAGUAGAUGAGUAGAUACAGUAGGACACCAAACAUCAAAUCAAAACGUUAUAAUGAAAAACAUGUUUCCUAUGAAAAAUGUCAAAAAUGAAACAUUUGAAAAAAUCUGUUUAUUUGAAGGUAAGCAAGCAUGCACUUUCUGCUGAAAUCGCUAAACUUACCUGUCUGCUUAUAUAAGAGUCACAGAGCUAAAAUUAGAGGCCACGUAGAAAAAAAUGAUUGAUCGUUAUCCUGAGAGAUUUGAAUUUAUGUACUAUAUCUUUAGAUUAUUGCUCUCCUGUGCCUUGCUAAUCAAUAGCAAGACUCUGCUCCGGAAAUACUGCUGUGAUAUUUAGGAUUAAUAAAAAUGUAUAUAUAUAUCCAUUUAAACAAUACAUUUAUCAUUUAUUGCUUAGCAGCCAUGGUAGCUGAAGCUGAGGUUAUGGAUGAUGAUAAGAAUAUGUUUUAUAAUAAAUGUUACUUUUUUCAACAUAAUUUAUGGUGAUUCUUAAUUUUGGUGGUAACCCAGGGUAUCUCAGGUAUAUAGUAUUCUAUCAAAACAUCAGGAUGUUAGGAUGCUGCAGUAUACACUCCAGAAUGUUUCAGUACUAAAUCUGACGAAUUCAGUGAGUACAUGUGGAUCUGUGGAAGUUUACUUGAAGGCUUGAAGUAGAUUUUUCUGACUAAACUCAAUGCGCUAGCAUCUCUGUCUUUAGUGAUAUUGCAUGGGAUAAAAAGAAUUGGUUCCAGUGUUUUAUAUCAGUUGUUUUCUUAACACUGUAUAUUACUUCAGCUUCAGCCGUGUCAAAAUGAAUAAGAGGAUUUUAUGUACUGUAGCUACACCAAGAUGAACAUCCAUCCAUUACUUUUUAAAAUCUAUGCCAAUUGUACUCACUGGAGACGUGAUCUUCUUUACUCAAAGCCUUUUUGAUUGGAAGGUAGCAUAACAGAAGCCCUGACAGGUCCUCUAUGCUAUCCUAAUAAACUGGAUUGGAUGUUUUAUUUGAUGUCCUGAGGCUUGGAAUACUUAUGAUUCUAUUCCAAAAAUAACACAAGUCCAAAAACUGCAUAAUGGGUCUUUGAUGAGUAAAAUUUGUUGUGAUAUUUGGUACUCUGACAUCUUCAAUUUGUGAAUAUUUUAAAUUUUUGCUUUUCAGUGUUUCCAAAAUGAUGUAUAAUACGUACAUGUAUGAAAAAAUGCUUCAGAAGGUUCUGGGACAUGAACACAAAUCUGUAUCACAGUGAGCUUUACCCCAUCACCUCAUCACCAUUGCCAACCACUCCCAUAAUUCAUCAGCCAUGUUGUGUCAACCAGGCCACCACCUGUCCACUAACCCACUUAAAAACAUUAUGAAGCCAGUAAAGACUGUGAGAUUGUAGAAACACACAGGAAGUUCUUAGGAUAAAGUAAUAAUGGAACAAGGCUCCCUGGUUUAUGUUAUUUUUCAGGAUUUCUGGUUAUGUAACGUGUUUGUAAAAAAAAA